UUCUUUUUUACUUUUUCUACUUGUAUGUUUCACUUCAGUUAAUUAAACUUUUGUUUUGUGUAAGUAGUUUUGAAGAAAGCUACUUUAUACAAAUUAUAAUUUGUACAAAGCAACAGUGUACUGUAGUACUGUACUUUAUUUUAAGUAAUACUUCCAGAUACUUUCUCCAUCACUGUCUAAAGUGGACCUGAAUUGAGCUGGACCUGAUGUGAACUAGACUAAAGUGGGCUGGACGUGCAAGUGAAUGAGAUCUGAAGUUAAUUGGACCUAAAGGACUAGAUGGUUGGAGGAAGGCAUAAGGUCGAGCAUGACCCAACACACACACAACCAUUGCUGGUGUUGGCUGGGCAGAAGCCGUCACUUGUGCACCAAGAUGUCUUCACGUUUUAGCUCUGGUCUAUAGUCUCAAAUGAGGAGACGUCUGGUCCUGCAGCAACACAGCACAGCACCUUAUAUCACGGCUCCUGUACAGAAGAAAACUUAUCUACUGAUUCUUGGCAGAUUAUGUUACCAUUUGAGGUGAACUGAAGCCUUGAUGUAAUAGUGAUUGAAGACUACAGUACAGGAGGAGAGAGAGUGUUAUCUGUCAUUGGUAUUAGAAUAGUUAGCAACUGUGUGUUAGUAACUUACAGGGUUCAGUUUAACACAGAUAGGCUCAUCAUAUAUUUUAAUAAAGUACAGGUAUCCCCCAAGAUACUUACAGUAUGUCCAAUAAAUGAACAAUCAUAAUUACAAAAAUAUCAGUUUGACUUUUAACAAAUUCCCCUCAGUCACACGGUCAGUAUAGCCCAGUGGUGCAUUGGCACUAUUGCAGAAUGUUGGUUGUGUUUAAUGUAUUUAUUAUUUUACAAGAAUUAUAUUGGUGAAAAACCCA
RNAcentral lists this long non-coding RNA (874 nucleotides) under Homarus americanus (American lobster). RNAcentral's name for it is "uncharacterized LOC121873446, transcript variant X2". Lineage: Eukaryota; Metazoa; Arthropoda; Malacostraca; Decapoda; Nephropidae. The record is from RNAcentral.